This 7226-nucleotide long non-coding RNA is filed under the name Daucus carota (carrot). RNAcentral's name for it is "long non-coding RNA (DCAR_LNC004360)". The record is from RNAcentral. Lineage: Eukaryota; Viridiplantae; Streptophyta; Magnoliopsida; Apiales; Apiaceae.
CAGCUGCUCAUGUCGAUGUUGAGAAAGCAGAGGCUUAUGAGAAGAAACUUAAACAAAUGCCUGACUUAAAAGAUAUUGAUGUGGAUAGUUUAGAGAGGACGUCGGGUGCAAAGCAUGCUGAGGGUGGAUCUCAUAUGAAUACAGCUACCUCUUAUGAAGACAAUAAUAAAGAGAAAACGAAGAAGAAGAAGAGGAAAAGAAAGCCCAAGUACCCCAAAGGGUUCGAUCCUGCAAAUCCUGGUCCCCCGCCAGAUCCGGAGAGGUGGUUACCUAAACGGGAGAGGUCUAGUUUCAGGCCAAAGAGAAAGGAUAAGCGGAUUGCCCAAAUUAGAGGAUCUCAGGGUGCAGUGGCUAAAGAAGCAGGAAAUGCAAACUCAAAAUCUAGCCGAGCAAGUUCCAAAGGGGUGUCUACAGGUCCAGAGCCAUCAAAGCCUUCCUCCAAGUCAUCUAAAAAGAAAUCAAGGAAGUGAGAAAUAUUUUUAGCUAGAGGCGAAUCUGCACUUCUGCUUGCCUUUUUUUUUUUCCUGCAAUAUUUUGUACUUUGGGCAAAAAGCUAUAAGUUAAUUAGGUUAGAACGAUGCCUGAAAAAGAUACUGUUGAAGAUGAGCACUGAAACUGAAUAUUGACUUGCAUCCUGGAUAUAUUUUCAUUUGAAAUCCAUACUUUAAAAUUGGAGUCCUUGGUUUGGUUCAAGUGAAGAAGAAUCGUGCGGGAUAAGUUAUACAGUUCGAGUUAUUUAAUGGAUAGGUCUGUCAUUGUUAUAUAUGAUGAUCCCUGUUUGAUUUUCCCUGGUGAAAGUCAUCAGAUGAUCAGAUAUAAUUGUCGUAGUCCUCUUUGCACCCUACUGAGAGAAAUGGGCAUCAAGAAGUUGGCACACACGUAAUGUAUAUCACUGAAAUUCUAGAAAACAAUAAUUAGCUCCGUCAUAACACAGAUGUGCCGACAAAUUGGACCUGUAAGACAUUAUGUAAAAUUUGCUGAACCUGUAAGACAUUUUGCUACAAUGAUACUGGCUAAUUGGUUGACUAUAAUUUAAAAAUAGUAUGUUAUUAAUAUUUUAAAUUGUUAAAAUAGAAUAUAACAGUUCAAUAUGGUAAUAAAUGAUAUACAAUCUUCCUACAGAUUUUAUUACAGACCUGUAGAGGUUCGACAAAUUUAGCCAUCCAUAGGAGGUUGGCUAAAUUUAUCGACAACCGCUCAUCAUGGUUGGAGUUGAGUUUUUAGAGCUGUUGGCUAAAUCUUUUUAUUUUAAGUAUGCCAACUCAUCUUUUAGCCAAGGGUUUUAGAUGGUUGGAGAUGCUCUUACAAUAAACCAUUAUCUGAUAUUAUUUUAAUUAAAUUUUGGCGAUUGUAUAUACCCUAAAUACCAAAGGUACAUAUUUAUUUAAUUAUAUAAUAUUUAUCAAAAGAAAAAAAAAAAAAAAGGAAACCAAAGAAGAAGAAAAAGGCCGAGAAAGAAAGUAAAUUGGGUAGUAACAGUCCGACCCAUUGGCCACAAUAGGUUAUCAGUCUGACAGCUUCUCUUGAGCACCAAAAUGCCUCCCAAAUCAAAAGAAAAGCCCAAAUCGGCCGCCGCAGCCCCACCGCCGUCGAUCUCAAUCGAAGAUCUCUUCACUUCCAUUAAACGCCACGUCGACAAAGAUGAGUUCGAACAAAUCGUCAAGCUCUCAGAUCAAGGUCAUUUUUCGUUUUAAUUAUGUCUGUGUUUUUGAUUUAUUAUAUGUGAUCUUGAGACUUUGUCUUGUGUCUGGAUAGUGUUAUCUGUAGCUCCUGGUGAUGAAGAUGCGUUACGAUGCAAAGUUGCGGCGUUGAUUAAGUGCGAUAAGAUCGAUGACGCGCUUUCGGUUAUUCGCAAGGUUCCCAAUGAUUUUAGCUAUUUCAAGGUAUUUGUACUUUACUAUUUUCUGUGUUAAUGUCUGAUUGAUUAUAGAGUUUGGUUGAUUUUGGAUAUAGAGGUUUAUUUAUGAACACUUUUUUGGUAUUGGUGCAUAUAUAGUCCGAUUUGUAGUUCAUUGUAUUGUUUAGAAUUAUACUACAUACAUGAUACAUUACGUAAUCUAUCUUUCUGUCCGAGAAAUAUGGACAGUAAAAUUUGUAACCGACUUGUUAACAUAGACACUGACACUUGUCGAAAGAUCACUCAGCAUCAGAAUCGUAAUUGAUAAGGAAAUUAAUUGAGAUAUGCAGAUUAAAAAGUGAAUUGAAAUUGAUAAUAAGCUGGAAGAAAUGAUAAACUGCAAUGAAGGAACAAUAAACUCGACAAGGAAAUGAAAUACAAGCAGUGGACUGGAAGAUAAUGAACAGUGUAAAGAAGGUAGUUUCUUCUUUCAUGGCACUUCAAUGAACAUGGAACACCAGAUCAGUACAUAUACUCAAGCAUGAUGGGUUUGGCAUUGGGUUUGAAGUUCUAACUAAUUAAGGGCUCUUACUUGGUAAAUAGAUCACUUGAAUGAUCUAUUUGUUACAAAAUUGAAAUAGUAGUGAUUAUGGUUAUAAGGGACACAGAUGCAGACCAAGGCGAUUUACAUGCUCAUUCUUAUUGUGUUAAUAUUUCUAUUAUUAAAUAUAUUAUAAAGAAUAGUGACUUGGCACGUACAUGAAGGUGACUUUUCCUGAAUAUUUGUCUGCUUAUGUGGCUACAAAUGCAAUAUUGAGUCAUUUCUUGUUUUGUUUUCGUAUUAUAGGCAUAUUGCUUAUACAGGCAAAAUAAGUUAAAAGAAGCUAUGGAAUCGCUGAAGGGCCUUGAUGAAACUUCUGCAACUAUGCUUUUAGAAUCACAGAUUCUAUUUCGCAUGGGGAAAAUGGAUGCUUCUGUUGAUAUCUACCGGAAACUCCAGAAUUCGAAAAUAGACGCGCUAGAGAUAAAUGUUGUUGCUGGCUUGGUCUCAGCUGGGAAAAGUUCUGAAGUUAAAGGAAUGAUGGAUGCUCUCCGGGUUAAAGCAACAAGCAGCUUUGAGUUGGCAUAUAAUGCUGCCUGUUCACUUAUUGAAGAACACAAGUACACUGAUGCAGAGCAACUUCUGCUCUCAUCUAGAAGGUGAACUUUUAUAGUUGGUAGUUUUCGUGAUCAUUACUAUAUCUUGUAGAUAUUUCAAUGUUUAUAUGUAGUUUGUAUGGUUCAUAUCGUAGUCUUACAGGGUGGUGCUCUUAGGGGUGACAAUUUCAGGUAAUGAGUCGGGUUCGGUCGGGUCGUCCGACGUGGUCUAGUUUUUGGGUCGACACGAUCCGACCCGAAACGGGUUGAAAAUUUCAUCCGAAGCCGACCUGUUUAGUACCCGAUUAACCCGGAUCGGAAAUGACCCGUUUUGACCCGAAAUGUAUUAAAAAUUAAUUAUUUUGAAUUAAAAGUUAUAUUUAUUAUAAAUUUUAAAAAUACAUGUUAAUUUAAUGAGAUAAUAUGUGAAUAGAAAUAUUUUUAAUAGUAUAGAAAGAUAUCAUAAAUGUAUGUAAUUUUGUAAUAUAAAUAUACAUAAUUAACAUACUAUAUUAUAUAUAUAAAUAUUUAGUGUCGGGUUCAAAUACACUGGGUCAACCCGAACCCGACCCGAGUUUUUCGGGUAAAAAAUUAUUUGACCCGAAGUAUAAAAUUUCUAACCUUAAUUCGUACUUUUUCGAGUCGGGUUCGUAUCGGGUUUCGGGUCGUGUCAGAUUUUGCCGCCCCUAGGUGCUCUUAGGGCUUUGUAUCGCUGCAUGUAACCAAGCUAAGUAACUUUUGGUUCCUUGGACGUUGAAACAUGCUCUUAGGGCUUUGUUUCGUUGCCUGUAACCCAACCAAGUAACUUUUGGUUCCUUGGACGUUAAAAUAUGGAUGAGUUACAUUAUUUGGUUAUGUAACUUUCAUACAAGACGUGGGAACUUAUAUUUCUUAAAAUACGAAACUCAGUUACAUAGUCUAUCAACGAUUUUUUGGAGUUACAUAGUGUCAAAUGUUUUAAUCUGUUUUACUGUAUAUUUAUGAUUAGUCGCCGUCUUUUUAUCAGUUAAAUAUUUUUUCUUUUUUAUGGUUAACUAAAAAUGUUUAUAUUUUUUGGUAAAUUACUUUUAAAUUUAUAAAUUUAUAUAUUACUUUUAUAAUAUUUUAUCAUAGAUAUUAAAUAUUGUAAAUAAAAGUUUUAAAUAUAGUUCCCUUUUUAUUUUUUAUUUAAAUAUAUUUAUAAUACUAGUUUAUAUUUACUUUAUUAAGUAUUUGUAUUAUAAAAUUAUUAUUAUCAUUAAAAAUGAAAUUUAUUAAAAGUUGUUUAAUAAUUUAAAAAACAAAUAUAACUUAUAAUUACACAAUGAUAAACCAAAGACGUGUUUAUAAAAAUCCCGGGAAUCUAGGCAUGCAACCUACUUCCGAGGAAUUCUAAGUUUCGGGUAUAACUUCAAAAACUCUGAAACAAAUAAGGCCUAGGUUAAUUGUUGUGCAUAAAAAGAUGUUAAUGUUGUAUAAGAUAUCUUAUCCGAGGCUGUUGGAAUUGUUGAAACUUUGACAAGCUUAUUUAAGUUGAAUGUGGUUCUACUUAGAGUUGGAGUGUCGGCUAGUUCUGAUAAAGACCAUGCUGUUGAACUCUAAUACUAAUUAUAUGUUCAUCAGUAGAGAAUGUAUCUCAUGUUUGCAAUAUCUUUUUGCUUGUGGAAGGAAGUGAUGUAACUUUGGGCGUGUCUAAAUGGCAAAUAUGUCACGUGUAUAUAUCUAAAGAAUUAUCUCUUAAUGUAAAUGAUUUUAUUUUAAGAGCAAAAACAUUAAUCAUGACUUGGUAACCCAAUUUGAAAAUGUCAAACAGUUUUAUACACAUGCAGACAAUUUCAAUUAUACCCCGAACAUUCUUCUGUCUGCAUAUGUCGUCCUGUUACAGGAGGAUAAUGUAUAUAGGAAGUUGUAUAUUUAGCUCCACUGAAUAAUUAUACUACAGGUUUACAGCCGGGGAGUUGUUUUUGCUGCUAUUGUAAUUGGAAUAGGCAAAAAAAAAAAGCAUAUAACUCGUGUGUGAUUCUAGUGUUAUGUACGUCAUACUGCCAGUAUAAUUUAUAAUUUAUUCUUUUCUGCAUACCUGUUUAGGAUAUACACCUCUCUCUCUCUGUACAUACUACAUAAGCUUCAUCACCUAUUAUUUAGAUUUUUAUGUCGUAUCUUUGUGGAAGUUUUUAUUAAGUCUUAUCAUUGCCUUGUCAGAAUGGGACAGGAAACUCUAAUGGAUGAGAGUUUGGCAGAUGACGAAAUUGAAAUUGAACUGGCACCAAUAUCUGUCCAGUUGGCAUAUGUUCAGCAGGUAGGAUGUUGGUUUUAGGCAUUCUUGUAUGUUUCUGUAAUGAUCAUUUGUUUGCUUCAUUAAUAAUUGCUCAAUUCUCAGCUCAUGGGUAAUACAAAGGAAGCUGUUCAGUCAUAUACUGGAAUAAUUAAGCGAAAUCUGGCAGAUGAAGCAACACUGGCGGUGGCCACCAACAACCUUAUUGCUUUGAAAGGUCCCAAAGAUAUCUCAGAUAGCUUGAAGAAGCUUGAUAAGCUUGUAGAGAAAAGUGGGGGGCCUGGGAGCUUCCAGCUUGCUCGUGGUUUAGACUUGAAGCUUUCACCUAAGCAGAAAGAAUCAUUAUACAUUAAUCGAAUGCUGCUGCUACUUCAUUCAAAUAAAAUGGAGCAGGUAUCAUGUGUCUUCCUGCAUUAGAACAUCUUUAGCGCAUAACACCAAAGUAGUGCAAAUUUGUUCUAAAAGCUACACCAGCUCUGAAACCAACUUUAACCCACCAAAUCAACAAAAGGUGUAAACCAAAUUCAAUUAAUGAAUACAAGGGUGCAUUGGGAUGUUGAAAAAGGUUAUAUAUGGUGUGGAAAUUACACCAAAUGAGUAGUGUUACAGUGAAUUCGUUAACAAUGUUCACUUACACCAAAAUGGUGUAAUUUAGUGUCUAGUUGGAGUGGGUGUUACAAUAAAACGAUGCAAAACCGCUAUGGUAUUUUAGUUCCCCAUUGGAGCUGUUCUUAACAUCGAUAUGCUAAUACUCAUAUCAUUCACUAUUGAGUAAUAUCGUCUUAAUGGUAUAGGUCUUUCCUACCUGUCGAUGUGUGUCAGAUCUAUGUUAUUGGUACAGUCUUGGUAAUGAGCCAAGUAAUUAUAGGGAAAACACUUUCACAGUGCGUAUGAAAUUGCACUCCAACUUACAAAUGCAAAUAUGCCAGUUUUUAGGCUAUGGCAUAUGUAUAUUAUUAGGUAAGAUAUUGUGAGGUGCUACCAUAUUGAUAAAGGUGCAUGUCAAAGACCUCUGAGAUUGUUAAUAACUUAGCUUAUGACUGUGUGAUGUCUUGUAUAUAGUUAAAUGAAUAUUUUUUGCAGGCUCGAGAACUUGUUGCUGCCUUGCCAGACUUGUGUCCGGGUAGUGUGGUGCCAGUAUUGCUUCAAGCUGCCGUCUUGGUCAAAGAAAAUAAGGCUGGGAAGGCUGAAGAAAUAUUGGGGCAAUCUGCAGAUAAGUUCCCAGAUAAUUGCAGAGUACUUCACCUUGCAAGGGCCCAGAUUGCUGCUGCUGGUGGUCACCCACAAAUUGCAGUUGCGUCUCUAGAAAAAAUACCUGAUAUUCAACACAUGCCUGCUACAGUGGCAACCCUUGUUGCUCUUAAAGAGCGUGCUGGAGAUAUCGAUGGUGCAGAUGCUGUUUUUGACUCGGCAAUCCGAUGGUGGUCAAAUGCUAUGACUGAAGAAAACAAGCUUAGUGUAAUCAUGCAAGAAGCUGCUGCUUUCAAGCUUAAGCAUGGCCGUAAAGAGGAGGCUGCUCGUUUGUACGAGGAGAUUGUGAAAAGUCAUGGAAGUAUUGAGGCUUUGGUAGGUUUAAUCCAGACAGCUGCUCAUGUCGAUGUUGAGAAAGCAGAGGCUUAUGAGAAGAAACUUAAACAACUGCCUGACUUAAAAGCUAUUGAUGUGGAUAGUUUAGAGAGGACCUCGGGUGCAAAGCAUGCUGAGGGUGGAUCUCAUAUGAAUACAGCUACCUCUUAUGAAGACAAUAACAAAGAGAAAACGAAGAAGAAGAGGAAAAGAAAACCCAAGUACCCCAAAGGUUUCGAUCCUGCAAAUCCUGGUCCCCCGCCAGAUCCGGAGAGGUGGUUACCUAAACGGGAGAGGUCUAGUUUCAGGCCAAAGAGAAAGGAUAAGCGGAUUGCCCAAAUUAGAGGAUCUCAGGGUGCAGUGGCUAAAGAAGCAGGAAAUGCGAACUCAAAAUCUAGCCAAGCAAGUUCCAAAGGGGUGUCUACAGGUCCA